Molecule: ribosomal RNA, 447 nt
Filed under: uncultured bacterium
Lineage: Bacteria
Description: partial 16S ribosomal RNA
Rfam family: Bacterial small subunit ribosomal RNA
Source: RNAcentral
AACGAACGCUGGCGGCAGGCCUAAAACAUGCAAGUCGAACGCCCCGCAAGGGGAGUGGCGCACGGGUGAGUAACGCGUGGGAACGUGCCCUUCAGUACGGAACAACGUCGGGAAACUGACGCUAAUACCGUAUAAUAUCUCCGGAUCAAAGAUUUAUCGCUGAAGGAGCGGCCCACGGCUGAUUAGCUAGUUGGUGAGGUAAAGGCUUACCAAGGCUACGAUCAGUAGCAGGUCUGAGAGGUUGAUCUGCCACACUGGGACUGAGACACGGCCCAGACUCCUACGGGAGGCAGCAGUUAGGAAUAUUGGACAAUGGGCGAAAGCCUGAUCCAGCCAUGCCGCGUGUGUGAUGAAGGCCUUAGGGUUGUAAAGCACUUUCGUUGGGGAUGAUAAUGACCGUACCCAAAGAAGAAGCCACGGCUAAAUUCGUGCCAGCCGCCGCAGUAA